GACGUAGGGGGCGAGCGUUGUCCGGAUUUACUGGGCGUAAAGGGCGCGUAGGCGGCUCGUUAAGUGUGAAGUGAAAUCUCCAGGGCUCAACCCGGAAACUGCUUCGCAUACUGGCGAGCUUGAGGAACGCAGAGGUAACUGGAAUUCCCGGUGUAGCGGUGAAAUGCAUUGAUAUCGGGAGGAACUCCAACAGCGAAGGCAGGUUACUGGGCGUUAUCUGACGCUGAGGCGCGAAAGCGUGGGUAGCAAACAGG
RNAcentral lists this ribosomal RNA (254 nucleotides) under uncultured bacterium. Its description in RNAcentral is "partial 16S ribosomal RNA". It matches the Rfam family "Bacterial small subunit ribosomal RNA", at positions 524 to 776 of the family's 1533-position model. The record is from RNAcentral.